AGGCAUGGGACUGGAUCCCCAGGG
Molecule: non-coding RNA, 24 nt
Filed under: Mus musculus (house mouse)
Lineage: Eukaryota; Metazoa; Chordata; Mammalia; Rodentia; Muridae
Source: RNAcentral